CCUACGGGUGGCAGCAGUCGAGAAUUUUUCUCAAUGGGGGAAACCCUGAAGGAGCGACGCCGCGUGGAGGAUGAAGGUCUUCGGAUUGUAAACUCCUGUCAUGAGGGAGUAAGACACAGCGUUAACUGCGUAUGUGUUUGAUAGUACCUCAAGAGGAAGAGACGGCUAACUCUGUGCCAGCAGCCGCGGUAAUACAGAGGUCUCAAGCGUUGUUCGGAUUCAUUGGGCGUAAAGGGUGCGUAGGCGGUUGUGUAAGUCAGAGGUGAAAUUCCGGGGCUCAACCUCGGAACUGCCUUUGAUACUGCUCGACUAGAGUACUGGAGAGGAGACUGGAAUUCACGGUGUAGCAGUGAAAUGCGUAGAUAUCGUGAGGAAGACCAGUGGCGAAGGCGAGUCUCUGGACAGUUACUGACGCUGAGGCACGAAGGCUAGGGGAGCAAACGGGAUUAGAUACCCCUGUAGUC
RNAcentral lists this ribosomal RNA (464 nucleotides) under uncultured bacterium. RNAcentral's name for it is "bacterial SSU rRNA". It matches the Rfam family "Bacterial small subunit ribosomal RNA", at positions 338 to 795 of the family's 1533-position model. The record is from RNAcentral.